GGCUUGAUGGUCUAGAGGUAUGAUUCCUGCUUCGGGAUUACAUGACUGCAGGAGGCCCCGGGUUCGAUUCCCGGUCAAGCCC
Transfer RNA from Laetiporus sulphureus 93-53, 82 nucleotides. It matches the Rfam family "tRNA". Rfam says of the family: Transfer RNA (tRNA) molecules are approximately 80 nucleotides in length. Their secondary structure includes four short double-helical elements and three loops (D, anti-codon, and T loops). Lineage: Eukaryota; Fungi; Basidiomycota; Agaricomycetes; Polyporales; Laetiporaceae. The record is from Rfam.